UCCCUGGUGGCUCAGUGGAUGGGAAUCUGCCUGCAAUGCAGGGGAUACAGGUUUGAUCCCUGGUCUGGGAA
Molecule: transfer RNA, 71 nt
Filed under: Ovis aries (sheep)
Lineage: Eukaryota; Metazoa; Chordata; Mammalia; Artiodactyla; Bovidae
Rfam family: tRNA
About the family: Transfer RNA (tRNA) molecules are approximately 80 nucleotides in length. Their secondary structure includes four short double-helical elements and three loops (D, anti-codon, and T loops).
Source: Rfam by way of RNAcentral